Molecule: ribosomal RNA, 246 nt
Filed under: uncultured bacterium
Lineage: Bacteria
Description: partial 16S ribosomal RNA
Rfam family: Bacterial small subunit ribosomal RNA
Source: RNAcentral
UACGAAGGGGGCUAGCGUUGUUCGGAUUUACUGGGCGUAAAGCGCACGUAGGCGGAUCGAUCAGUCAGGGUGAAAUCCCAGGGCUCAACCCUGGAACUGCCUUUGAUACUGUCGAUCUGGAGUAUGGAAGAGGUGAGUGGAAUUCCGAGUGUAGAGGUGAAAUUCGUAGAUAUUCGGAGGAACACCAGUGGCGAAGGCGGCUCACUGGUCCAUUACUGACGCUGAGGUGCGAAAGCGUGGGAGCAA